GCAUAUCAAUAAGCGGAGGAAAAGAAAAUAACAAUGAUUCCCCUAGUAACUGCGAGUGAAGAGGGACAAGCUCAAAUUUUAAAUCUAUCGGGUUUUACCUGAUCGAGUUGUAAUUUGAAGAAGCGUUUUCUGCGUAUUUGGUCAGCCUAAGUCCUAUUGAAUGAGGCAUCAUGGAGGGUGAUAAUCCCGUCCGGUUGAUCAUUUGCGUUUUACGAUACGCUUUCUAAGAGUCAAGUUGUUUGGGAUUGCAGCUUAAAAUGGGAGGUAAAUUUCUCCUAAGGCUAAAUAACGGCGAGAGACCGAUAGCGAACAAGUACCGUGAGGGAAAGAUGAAAAGAACUUUGAAAAGAGAGUUAAACAGUACGUGAAAUUGUUGAAAGGGAAACGAUUGAAGCCAGUCGUACCAUCGGGUAAUCAGCCUUUCGGGUGCGAUUCUGUGGAGUGUGAGGAGCUUAAACACCUUCAUGUUUUGCAUAUUCGUGCUCUUGGGUGUACUUGCCCGUGUGGUUGGUUAACAUCAAUUUCGGGCACCAUAAAAUGGCUGGAGGAAUGUAGCUUCGAUCUUGUAUUGAAGUGUUAUAGCCUUCGGUAGAUGUGGUGAUCGAGAUUGAGGAUUGCAACGGAUACCUUUCGGGGCUACCUGUCUGAUCUCUGAUCGUUGCUUUGGUGCUGAAAGCGUGCUUAUAGUUAUCAAAGUCGAUGGUUAAUAGGUUAGAAUGGGUUAAAUUCGUUAAGGAUGUUGACGUAAUGGCUUUAAACGACCCGUCUUGAAACACGGACCAAGGAGUCUAACAUAUAUGCGAGUGUUAGGGUGAUUAAACCCUUACGCGUAAUGAAAGUAAUUUUGGUGGGAACACUUUUGUGCACCAUCGACCGAUCAGGAUAUUUUUUGAUAGAUUUGAGUAAGAGCA
RNAcentral lists this ribosomal RNA (911 nucleotides) under Rhizophagus irregularis. RNAcentral's name for it is "eukaryotic LSU rRNA". It matches the Rfam family "Eukaryotic large subunit ribosomal RNA", at positions 38 to 802 of the family's 3401-position model. Lineage: Eukaryota; Fungi; Glomeromycota; Glomeromycetes; Glomerales; Glomeraceae. The record is from RNAcentral.